RNAcentral lists this transfer RNA (72 nucleotides) under Nocardioides sp. RNAcentral's name for it is "tRNA-Val". It matches the Rfam family "tRNA". From Rfam's summary of the family: Transfer RNA (tRNA) molecules are approximately 80 nucleotides in length. RNAcentral also lists the same sequence under 4 other names. The record is from RNAcentral. Lineage: Bacteria; Bacillati; Actinomycetota; Actinomycetes; Propionibacteriales; Nocardioidaceae.
GGGCGCAUAGCUCAGCGGUAGAGCGCUUGCCUUACAAGCAAGAUGUCGCAGGUUCGAUCCCUGCUGCGCCCA